This 2931-nucleotide ribosomal RNA is filed under the name Escherichia coli. Its description in RNAcentral is "23S ribosomal RNA". It matches the Rfam family "Bacterial large subunit ribosomal RNA". The record is from RNAcentral. Lineage: Bacteria; Pseudomonadati; Pseudomonadota; Gammaproteobacteria; Enterobacterales; Enterobacteriaceae.
GGGUUGUGAGGUUAAGCGACUAAGCGUACACGGUGGAUGCCCUGGCAGUCAGAGGCGAUGAAGGACGUGCUAAUCUGCGAUAAGCGUCGGUAAGGUGAUAUGAACCGUUAUAACCGGCGAUUUCCGAAUGGGGAAACCCAGUGUGUUUCGACACACUAUCAUUAACUGAAUCCAUAGGUUAAUGAGGCGAACCGGGGGAACUGAAACAUCUAAGUACCCCGAGGAAAAGAAAUCAACCGAGAUUCCCCCAGUAGCGGCGAGCGAACGGGGAGCAGCCCAGAGCCUGAAUCAGUGUGUGUGUUAGUGGAAGCGUCUGGAAAGGCGCGCGAUACAGGGUGACAGCCCCGUACACAAAAAUGCACAUGCUGUGAGCUCGAUGAGUAGGGCGGGACACGUGGUAUCCUGUCUGAAUAUGGGGGGACCAUCCUCCAAGGCUAAAUACUCCUGACUGACCGAUAGUGAACCAGUACCGUGAGGGAAAGGCGAAAAGAACCCCGGCGAGGGGAGUGAAAAAGAACCUGAAACCGUGUACGUACAAGCAGUGGGAGCACGCUUAGGCGUGUGACUGCGUACCUUUUGUAUAAUGGGUCAGCGACUUAUAUUCUGUAGCAAGGUUAACCGAAUAGGGGAGCCGAAGGGAAACCGAGUCUUAACUGGGCGUUAAGUUGCAGGGUAUAGACCCGAAACCCGGUGAUCUAGCCAUGGGCAGGUUGAAGGUUGGGUAACACUAACUGGAGGACCGAACCGACUAAUGUUGAAAAAUUAGCGGAUGACUUGUGGCUGGGGGUGAAAGGCCAAUCAAACCGGGAGAUAGCUGGUUCUCCCCGAAAGCUAUUUAGGUAGCGCCUCGUGAAUUCAUCUCCGGGGGUAGAGCACUGUUUCGGCAAGGGGGUCAUCCCGACUUACCAACCCGAUGCAAACUGCGAAUACCGGAGAAUGUUAUCACGGGAGACACACGGCGGGUGCUAACGUCCGUCGUGAAGAGGGAAACAACCCAGACCGCCAGCUAAGGUCCCAAAGUCAUGGUUAAGUGGGAAACGAUGUGGGAAGGCCCAGACAGCCAGGAUGUUGGCUUAGAAGCAGCCAUCAUUUAAAGAAAGCGUAAUAGCUCACUGGUCGAGUCGGCCUGCGCGGAAGAUGUAACGGGGCUAAACCAUGCACCGAAGCUGCGGCAGCGACGCUUAUGCGUUGUUGGGUAGGGGAGCGUUCUGUAAGCCUGCGAAGGUGUGCUGUGAGGCAUGCUGGAGGUAUCAGAAGUGCGAAUGCUGACAUAAGUAACGAUAAAGCGGGUGAAAAGCCCGCUCGCCGGAAGACCAAGGGUUCCUGUCCAACGUUAAUCGGGGCAGGGUGAGUCGACCCCUAAGGCGAGGCCGAAAGGCGUAGUCGAUGGGAAACAGGUUAAUAUUCCUGUACUUGGUGUUACUGCGAAGGGGGGACGGAGAAGGCUAUGUUGGCCGGGCGACGGUUGUCCCGGUUUAAGCGUGUAGGCUGGUUUUCCAGGCAAAUCCGGAAAAUCAAGGCUGAGGCGUGAUGACGAGGCACUACGGUGCUGAAGCAACAAAUGCCCUGCUUCCAGGAAAAGCCUCUAAGCAUCAGGUAACAUCAAAUCGUACCCCAAACCGACACAGGUGGUCAGGUAGAGAAUACCAAGGCGCUUGAGAGAACUCGGGUGAAGGAACUAGGCAAAAUGGUGCCGUAACUUCGGGAGAAGGCACGCUGAUAUGUAGGUGAAGUCCCUCGCGGAUGGAGCUGAAAUCAGUCGAAGAUACCAGCUGGCUGCAACUGUUUAUUAAAAACACAGCACUGUGCAAACACGAAAGUGGACGUAUACGGUGUGACGCCUGCCCGGUGCCGGAAGGUUAAUUGAUGGGGUCAGCGCAAGCGAAGCUCUUGAUCGAAGCCCCGGUAAACGGCGGCCGUAACUAUAACGGUCCUAAGGUAGCGAAAUUCCUUGUCGGGUAAGUUCCGACCUGCACGAAUGGCGUAAUGAUGGCCAGGCUGUCUCCACCCGAGACUCAGUGAAAUUGAACUCGCUGUGAAGAUGCAGUGUACCCGCGGCAAGACGGAAAGACCCCGUGAACCUUUACUAUAGCUUGACACUGAACAUUGAGCCUUGAUGUGUAGGAUAGGUGGGAGGCUUAGAAGUGUGGACGCCAGUCUGCAUGGAGCCGACCUUGAAAUACCACCCUUUAAUGUUUGAUGUUCUAACGUUGACCCGUAAUCCGGGUUGCGGACAGUGUCUGGUGGGUAGUUUGACUGGGGCGGUCUCCUCCUAAAGAGUAACGGAGGAGCACGAAGGUUGGCUAAUCCUGGUCGGACAUCAGGAGGUUAGUGCAAUGGCAUAAGCCAGCUUGACUGCGAGCGUGACGGCGCGAGCAGGUGCGAAAGCAGGUCAUAGUGAUCCGGUGGUUCUGAAUGGAAGGGCCAUCGCUCAACGGAUAAAAGGUACUCCGGGGAUAACAGGCUGAUACCGCCCAAGAGUUCAUAUCGACGGCGGUGUUUGGCACCUCGAUGUCGGCUCAUCACAUCCUGGGGCUGAAGUAGGUCCCAAGGGUAUGGCUGUUCGCCAUUUAAAGUGGUACGCGAGCUGGGUUUAGAACGUCGUGAGACAGUUCGGUCCCUAUCUGCCGUGGGCGCUGGAGAACUGAGGGGGGCUGCUCCUAGUACGAGAGGACCGGAGUGGACGCAUCACUGGUGUUCGGGUUGUCAUGCCAAUGGCACUGCCCGGUAGCUAAAUGCGGAAGAGAUAAGUGCUGAAAGCAUCUAAGCACGAAACUUGCCCCGAGAUGAGUUCUCCCUGACCCUUUAAGGGUCCUGAAGGAACGUUGAAGACGACGACGUUGAUAGGCCGGGUGUGUAAGCGCAGCGAUGCGUUGAGCUAACCGGUACUAAUGAACCGUGAGGCUUAACCUUACAACGCCGAAGGUGUUU